UCUGCUCCCCAUGCUUUAAACCCGCGGCGUCGCCGAGGCGGGGCGACAAAGGCGGUUGCUUACCGGAGAAGCAACGUCGGAUCGGCAAUCGUCGCGCCGCACCGCCCACAAGUAGGCGAACUGAUGGGUUACACGGUAAUGGACUGCACGACGCAUGGAGUUGAUUCCCGGGAGCAUCUGGCCACCCCAUCUCAAAUGGCUGCAAAGAGGGGCAGCAAUGUUUCAGUUGUUGAUGCAGAGAUAAUACUCCUAAUGCCAAUGUCGCAUGCUUCCAUAAGACAUGUUGGUCGUGGGUGUUUGUGCUUACAAUUCUUCUAUCAUCAUCUGGAGCUUAUUCAGCCACUGAUACACAAAGAUUAGAAGAGGGCACAUGUCGUUACGACUUGACAAGCAUUGCCGUCUUAUCAUGUAUGCAACCAGCCGGUGUAUGGAAGCCAUCCUCACAAACAUGCUGCAAUGCCUUAUUAUAUGCAAUUGAUCAAGUUCCAGCAAGUGAUGAGAGUGGGGCUUGUUGCCUUUGUCGUUACAUGAAAGAAAGAUGGGGACCUCCUGAACUAGCUACCACAUAUAUUUUGUGCAAUGGAAAGGAUAGACAUAUCAUCUCCAGAUGGCCAAAAUUUCAUAUAGAAGAAUGCUUAGCAGCGUGUACAAAGACAAAAAUUUCCUUAGACAUGGGUAGCUCAGCGGACAGUGAAGUGGUUCAGGUACACGACACUGACAAGGGCAUCUGGAUAGGUGUUGCAUUAUUUAGUGUGAUGGUCCUUGUUUACUUCUGGUAUUCCUGGAGGUUGGCAGCAGCUAAUGCAAGUGAGCAGCCCCCAACACCAUCUUACCAAGGUGAGCCUCGAGCUAGGCGCCGGCGAUCUGCCGUCCCUUCAUCGCCACCAUCGAAAAAGGUCAAAGAGAGAAGGUUUUCAUCAUCUUGAAGAUAUGAUGCUCCGUGUAUCCAUAGAACUGCAAGGGCAUGUGUUGGAUAGGUGUAUGUUAUGCUCACGCUUACCUUAAUUGCACGUGUACAAACAUUGUCUGGCCGCGGUACUGAUAUUAGAUGACGUACAGUUGCAGGAACGUUUUUGACAAGCCCUCAAUUGAAGAUGAGCAUUAGAUCUUGUUUUGUCGGAGAUCGCAUACGGCCGUAGGCCGGUUUCUCGGCUUCUUGCCAUGGUAAGGGAAGCUAAGAAAGCGGUGGAUUUGAAGUUAGCACUAGAAUCAGGAGAUAUAUGUAGUCUGGUUCAGUAUGAUAUUGGGUUCACCCGAUAAAAAACGGCAAGCUUAAUACCUGCUCGCGGCCGUACUUGUUAUAGGAUUGGAGUAGCUACCCGACCUGCUCGGCCAUACUGGUUAUAGGAUUGGAGUAGCUACAUCUGGUAGUAGAAAUGAUUUCCCA
Sorghum bicolor (sorghum) is the source of this 1387-nucleotide long non-coding RNA. RefSeq lists it as uncharacterized. The record is from RefSeq and is a predicted model, not a curated record. NCBI's taxonomy places the organism in Eukaryota, Viridiplantae, Streptophyta, Magnoliopsida, Poales, Poaceae. The transcript has 5 exons.